Molecule: ribosomal RNA, 140 nt
Filed under: uncultured eukaryote
Lineage: Eukaryota
Description: partial 18S ribosomal RNA
Rfam family: Eukaryotic small subunit ribosomal RNA
Source: RNAcentral
UGGUGGAGUGAUUUGUCUGGUUAAUUCCGCUAACGAACGAUACCUUAACAUGCUAAAUAAUUACAUGUAACCUCGUCUACAUGGGCAGCUUCUUAGAGGGACUUUGUGUGUCUAACGCAAGGAAGUUUGAGGCAAUAACA